AAUAUCACGAAGCUCAAAGAAGUAGGGAAUAAUAGCAUUAUUCUCUUGAUAGCCGGCCUUGGCUUUCCGCCUCUCAAGCAUUGUGGAUAUAAGAUGAAGUUGUUCGUUGAUAACAAAUAAGCAAUAUAAUCCAGCCAAUCAUCCUAUGAGUCUUGGUAGGAGCAAACAUAUCGAGAGAAGAUGUCAUUUUCUUAGAGAACAAGUAAAUAAGGAUAGGAUAGAAAUAAAAAUCGGCUAGAACUUGUAGAUAUUCUCACGAUACCUUUGAAGAAAGCAAGGUUUGAAGAGUUGAAGAGCUUAUGGAAUGAGAAAACUAGCAAACAUGAAUUAUGAGGAGUGAGUGUUUAAUUCCCAUAGUUUUUAGUUUGAUUGUUUGAGACAAGUCAGUUGCUUGUCUGUC
RNAcentral lists this long non-coding RNA (400 nucleotides) under Medicago truncatula (barrel medic). RNAcentral's name for it is "lncRNA gene43725". The record is from RNAcentral. Lineage: Eukaryota; Viridiplantae; Streptophyta; Magnoliopsida; Fabales; Fabaceae.